Myotis lucifugus (little brown bat) is the source of this 45-nucleotide non-coding RNA. The record is from Rfam. NCBI's taxonomy places the organism in Eukaryota, Metazoa, Chordata, Mammalia, Chiroptera, Vespertilionidae.
CUAAAGGCUCUUUUAAGAACCAAAUAUAAUGACAAGGAAAUAUAA